CAUGUCAGAGCAGAGCAGAGCUACAGCUGCUCCAACAGGGACCCGUCGCUGCCAGAGCUGAGCCAUGAGCGACGCUGGGUGUGCUCUGGGAGAGCAGUCUGAAGAGAGGGAAACCCUUCUAAGCACCAGCAGCUCGGAGAGAGGAGUGAGAAAUGGGAGAGAAGCAGCCCUGCAGGCACGAAGGUACUACAGCAGAUGAAAACAUCACCUCUGCUGUUUUUGAAGAGUGGCAGGUGUACAGCAGGAAGAUCAUCAAAAUCAGAGAAUCUGAAAGUGAGAAGAAAAACACCAAACUCGGCUCUUCCUUUACCUCAAUGGGCAUUACCUAUUUUUAAGACUAAACCUGAUCCCAGACUUCGACAUGAAAGGUAUUACAAGCCAUAGACUUUCUUGAAUGAACUAUUGUUACACCAAUAGUAAAGCCCAGGGCUCACAGGAAGGAACAAAUGUGAGCCAUCUACAAAGAAGUCAAGGCUCCAUCAACUUCUACUAGUUCCAUCAAAUGGUAUCUGAAGGACUCAACAUUACAGAAAUCUAGUCUCAUCACAAUCUGGUAUCCGAUUCAGGUAUUUCACUUACUGGAUGAAGAACUGACAAUACAAUGAAUCAUUGUAAUUGUUCCUCCAUCGAUCCCAUAUCAGAAGCAGUGGAAUACACUGUUAUUCUUGGAUACUCCAAGCAAGAUGAAGAAGUCGAAAUGCAAAUAUUGCUGGGGAAAAAUAGUGACAGCUAAUCAAAACAAUAUGAAUUGUAAUGAAUUCCUCAAAGCUUGUACUAAAACUGCUCUGCAAACAAAAAGAACCUUCCUUCCACUAGAGCAGCCAAAUCCAGCCCAAGUGAGCUACAGAGGCGUAUGUGUUGCUUCAUUGAUCCUGACUGUCUAUAGUCUGCAUCAGAACAGAGGACUGAAUGCAAUGGAAAUUUUUAUCUUCUUCAACAUCAGAAAUCGGUUCUAUUUAUAACCCCUAAAGCAACAAUUCACCUGCAUUUCCAGUGCUCAGAACAUUCAUUAAUCAAGAUAUAUUGCAAACCUAGAGGAUUCACAGCCUAAAAGAUAUAAGUCUAACUCAGAGAUCUUUCUGGUUAUUAAAAGAGAGGCAUGAAUAAGUAGAAUGAUUCCUGCUCAGAAUAUACGAUACAAGUUUAUUUUAAGGACUUAACUGUCCACAUGAAAUGAAAGACAUUCACUGUAAGGAAACUACAGAAUCAAGCCUAAAAUCAAGCUUUCAAUUUCUUAGAAGCUUACAAAGUGUUAAACUAGAUCUAAAGCUAUAUAUCAAUGUAAUUAAGAAUAAUUUUCUACCUGCAAUGUAAUCUAUAUUUGCAUUAGGACAAAACAUUUAAAACAACACAGUAGCACUUUAUUUUUUGUCAUGUCAGUGUUAUUCAGAGUAGUUCUUAAACAACAAGUUCUCUGUUGUACUCAACAUCUUUCAGUUAUAUGAGGGCUAAUCCAAAAGUAAUGCCUCCUAUUUUAAUAUGUUGGCCCAUGAUGCCGGAGGUAUUGCAGCAGAGGCAGAACCUUCCCACCAAUAUUCCCUUACAUUUUAUUGUUAUAUGACAGAUGGCAGCAGAGGGGCAAUCUGACAAAAUGACGUCUGACAUAGAAGCGAGUAUAAAGCAAAGAUGUGUCAUUGAAUUCCUCUGUGUGGAAUACAUGGCAAUGAUUCAUUGAUGUUUGCUGAACAUUUAUGGAGACCAAACAGUGGAUGUGAGCAUAAUGAGGCAAUGGGUGGUGCAAUUCAGCACUGGUGACAGCACUGGUGACAGCACUGGUGACAGCACUGGUGACAGCACUGGUGACAGCAGGUCACCUCUGUUGAUACAGGUUUUUACUGGUAUGGAUUGCAGGCUCUUGGUCAUCACUGCCAAAAAUGGAUAACUAAUGAUGGUGACUAUGCUAAGAAAUAGCAUUUUGUAACUGAGAAUUUUCUCUAUCGUAUAGCGUUAUUGUGCUCUUUUUACCUCUUUUAUUCUCCAUUGAGGCAUAGAUGAGAUAAUACUUUCAGAGAAUCUACAUAUUUAAAGUUCUUUAGCAUGAAUGAUGUUUUGGAAACCUCUGUCUGGACUAGAAUGCAGCAGAAUAUUUCUCCAACUGUGGGGGAGAUUUAACAACAAAGAGCCCAACAGACUCUGGUAGAUCUUAUCUCUAUGAGGCCUCCGGAAUCUGGAAACAGGGCUAAGGUGUAAACAGAAUAGUCUUUAGUACGCA
Long non-coding RNA from Numida meleagris (helmeted guineafowl), 2212 nucleotides. RefSeq lists it as uncharacterized. The record is from RefSeq and is a predicted model, not a curated record. Lineage: Eukaryota; Metazoa; Chordata; Aves; Galliformes; Numididae. The transcript is spliced from 3 exons.